CAAGCUUCAGCUGGCAGCACCUUCAAGGAUGGCUUCAGCUCCACAGAACUUCCUCACCGAAGGUCGUGUCCUUCAGAGGGUAGCCCACAUCAAAUGACGGUGGAGGAGGGUAGACAUCUGUCAGACCAUUUCAGCCCAACAAAGGACAACUGUAAUGGGUUGUUUUAGCCCAAGCUUCCGCAUGAAGUUGGAACUGCUCCUACUGCCAGAUCCUUCUUCCUGCCUCCCCUUUCCAUGAGCGCUGAUGAGUCUUAGAGUCCAUCUCAGCGUCCUUCCCGGAGAACCCGACUCGUGAGACAUGGGUGGUUAAAAACACAUCUCUACAUCAGUAAUGACCUAGCUUCUCCACGUACUCAAGGAGGAUCAGGAGUAUGACUACAUUUCACUGUGCAGUGCCCCAAGGUCUUUCCAAGCCAGUGCCUAACCAGGUUCAACGAAUUUGCUGCUAUCCUGAGACUGAUUCUCAGUAGACACAAAGGACUGGCGCACACACUAUCAUAUGGCAGGAUGCGAUGGAAUGGGAAGGUCCUCAUUAUUUCCAAGAUAUUGUCCUAACAAUUGCUGGGUGCCCUCAAGAUUCUCCAAUGCCUCCAAUAUGUAAGCCUCAGGCCUAAGGGGAAACUACACAAUUCUGGACCAUGGCGGGGGAGUGAACUCAGCUGGAACAGGUUAAAAAUCCUACUCAAUCUCCAUGACUGAGUGACAAAUCCAGGAGAAAGUGAGGUUAAUCCAGCCACAGUCAGAAUGCCUCCUCUGAGUGUGUAUAAACCAGUGAAAUGUGCAGGAGGCCUGGGAAGCAGCGGCGAGGUCCAGCGAAAAUAAUCAUCACUCUUCACGCCGAGAGGCAACAAGCACUGCAGGUGAGAUAAAGUUCCAGACUUUAAAUCCGUCCUCAGUGCAGCAGGCCUGCGGCCACACUUCCCCAGAGAAGGCGCCUUGUCCAUCACUACAAUCAGCUCCACCAAAGCAUUUUAUCCAUUUAUUUAUUUUCAAGUUGUCAACGACGUUUUUGAAAGCAAAGGCAGACAAAGCUUCUUCUAUACAGCCUGAGGGAUCUGUAUUCCUUUUAACCAAAAUGGCCUGCAGACAUUUUUGCAAAACUAAUAAAAAAGCUCUAAGUACCAGCAUGUGGGCUGAACCAAAAUAAGGCACAAGUGUACAUACCAGUGUAGUACGAUGAAAUGUGAAAUUUAGAAAAGAAAAAAACUAACGGGAGUAGAGAGGCUAGAUAGAAUAUAGUAACGUAUUAUUGCACAAAUUCAUUCCCAUUGGCCCAACCUAGUGCUUAGUCAUGAUAUCAGAAACUUUUAUGUAAUAACAAAAUGGUAUUUGAAAUUAAACCUUGCACUUUCACUAACAAAGAACCAAGUCACUGAGAUAAGAAUUCAUAUAUUCUCCUCAAAGCUCUCAUAUAUCGUAUUUUAUAUAAACACCUGCAUGAGUUUAAAUUUCAUACUAUGAAUAUCUAGAGUUCAUGAGUUUCAAUGUGCUCUUUUCUUUACACACAGUAUACUUCACAGUCAUUGCCAUAUAACGGG
This 1538-nucleotide long non-coding RNA is filed under the name Equus caballus (horse). Its description in RNAcentral is "lncRNA (ENSECAG00000055550.1)". Lineage: Eukaryota; Metazoa; Chordata; Mammalia; Perissodactyla; Equidae. The record is from RNAcentral.